Molecule: ribosomal RNA, 448 nt
Filed under: uncultured bacterium
Lineage: Bacteria
Description: SSU rRNA
Rfam family: Bacterial small subunit ribosomal RNA
Source: RNAcentral
AGAACGAACGCUGGCGGCAGGCUUAACACAUGCAAGUCGAACGCUCGUAGCAAUACGUGAGUGGCAGACGGGUGAGUAACGCGUGGGAACAUACCCUCCGGUUCGGAAUAGCUCAGGGAAACUUGGAUUAAUACCGGAUACGGCUGAGAGGCGAAAGAUUUAUCGCCGGAGGAUUGGCCCGCGUUCGAUUAGCUUGUUGGUGAGGUAACGGCUCACCAAGGCGAUGAUCGAUAGCUGGUCUGAGAGGAUGAUCAGCCACAUUGGGACUGAGACACGGCCCAAACUCCUACGGGAGGCAGCAGUGGGGAAUAUUGGACAAUGGGCGCAAGCCUGAUCCAGCCAUGCCGCGUGAGUGAUGACGGCCUUAGGGUUGUAAAGCUCUUUCGCUCGGGACGAUAAUGACGGUACCGAGAUAAGAAGCCCCGGCUAACUUCGUGCCAGCAGCCGC